UUCUAUUUUCUUUUCUCAUGUAAUCCUUUCUUUCUUUUUGUCUCAGUGUGUAUCCAAAGGAAGCCUUUCUUUCAGUUCGCUAGAUUUAGAAUUUUCUGCAAAUGCUUCGGCUGCUGGUUCGGUGUCGACCGGAUGAAUGAGACCCAUUUUUUUCUGCAGAGGCUCCGGCGACUCUCUCUAACUCCUUCACCACACCAGGGUCCAGACCCAUUACUCUCUCAUCCUCCUUCACCACAUAGAGUGAUGGAUCUUAUCACUGGUUCGGUGUCGGCUGGAUCAGUGGUCGAGUUUUCGAAAUGGGUUUUUGAGAAUUUGCUCUUCUUGUGUUUGAUAAAAGGAGCAGAAAUGGGCACCAGAAAGUUUGGAGUGGAAACAAAGCAGAACCGAAGAAGAGCUUUGAGCGUGAUUAAUCAGAGCUUAGUGGCAGCUCCUUCAUAUCCAUGUGUCGUUAACAAGAGAGUUUUGUCAGAAAAAAAAUGUAAUCUGUGAGAAGAACCCUCCCAAUCCAGUCCAUCGACCAAUUACAAGAGUUCUAGAUGUUUUUGGCUUGCAUGACCACACGAUUAGACCCAAUCAAAUAUGGGUUCUUGAUGAAACCAUUCAUAUUUGUCUCUAUGUAUGUGCGGGUAUAUAUAUAUAUAUAAUUUGUAAAUUUACAGGGUAUUUUAGCCUUUUAAUUU
Molecule: RNA transcript, 680 nt
Organism: Cornus florida
Lineage: Eukaryota; Viridiplantae; Streptophyta; Magnoliopsida; Cornales; Cornaceae
Exons: 3
Source: RefSeq, a predicted model, not a curated record